Molecule: ribosomal RNA, 392 nt
Filed under: uncultured bacterium
Lineage: Bacteria
Description: partial 16S ribosomal RNA
Rfam family: Bacterial small subunit ribosomal RNA
Source: RNAcentral
UACGGAGGAUGCGAGCGUUAUCCGGAUUUAUUGGGUUUAAAGGGAGCGUAGGUGGGAUAUUAAGUCAGCUGUGAAAGUUUGGGGCUCAACCUUAAAAUUGCAGUUGAUACUGGUUUCCUUGAGUACGGUACAGGUGGGCGGAAUUCGUGGUGUAGCGGGGAAAUGCUUAGAUAUCACGAAGAACUCCGAUCGCGAAGGCAGCUCACCGGGCCGGAACUGACACUGAUGCUCGAAAGUGCGGGUAUCAAACAGGAUUAGAUACCCUGGUAGUCCGCACAGUAAACGAUGAAUACUCGCUGUUUGCGAUACACGGUAAGCGGCCAAGCGAAAGCGUUAAGUACUCCACCUGGGGAGUACGCCGGCAACGGUGAAACUCAAAUGAAUUGACGGGG